AUUGAACGCUGGCGGCAUGCCUUACACAUGCAAGUCGAACGGUAACGCGGGGCAACCUGGCGACGAGUGGCGAACGGGUGAGUAAAGUAUCGGAACGUGCCCAAUAGUGGGGGAUAGCCCGGCGAAAGCCGGAUUAAUACCGCAUGAGACCUGAGGGUGAAAGCGGGGGACUCGCAAGAGCCUCGCGCUGUCGGAGCGGCCGAUAUCAGAUUAGGUAGUUGGUGGGGUAAAGGCCUACCAAGCCGACGAUCUGUAGCUGGUCUGAGAGGACGACCAGCCACACUGGGACUGAGACACGGCCCAGACUCCUACGGGAGGCAGCAGUGGGGAAUUUUGGACAAUGGGCGCAAGCCUGAUCCAGCAAUGCCGCGUGCAGGAUGAAGGCC
RNAcentral lists this ribosomal RNA (386 nucleotides) under uncultured bacterium. RNAcentral describes it as "bacterial SSU rRNA". It matches the Rfam family "Bacterial small subunit ribosomal RNA", at positions 29 to 416 of the family's 1533-position model. The record is from RNAcentral.